AGUGAACGCUGGCGGUAGGCCUAACACAUGCAAGUCGAACGGCAGCACAGUAAGAGCUUGCUCUUACGGGUGGCGAGUGGCGGACGGGUGAGGAAUACAUCGGAAUCUACUUUUUCGUGGGGGAUAACGUAGGGAAACUUACGCUACUACCGCAUACGACCUACGGGUGAAAGCAGGAGAUCUUCGGACCUUGCGCGAUUGAAUGAGCCGAUGUCGGAUUAGCUAGUUGGCGGGGUAAAGGCCCACCAAGGCGACGAUCCGUAGCUGGUCUGAGAGGAUGAUCAGCCACACUGGAACUGAGACACGGUCCAGACUCCUACGGGAGGCAGCAGUGGGGAAUAUUGGACAAUGGGCGCAAGCCUGAUCCAGCAAUACCGCGUGAGUGAAGAAGGCCUUCGGGUUGUAAAGCCCUGUUGUUGGGAAAGAAAAGCAGCAGGUGAAUACCCCGCUGUUCUGACGGUACCCAAAGAAUAAGCACCGGCUAACUUCGUG
This 492-nucleotide ribosomal RNA is filed under the name uncultured bacterium. Its description in RNAcentral is "partial 16S ribosomal RNA". It matches the Rfam family "Bacterial small subunit ribosomal RNA", at positions 29 to 507 of the family's 1533-position model. The record is from RNAcentral.